GGAAUAACCGGCCGAAAGGCUGGCUAAUACUGGAUAGAGCGACGGAAUCCGUAAUUGGGUUUUCGGGAAAGGGAGGGAGCAAUCUCCUUUGCUCUGGGAUGAGCCUGCGUCUCAUUAGCUAGUUGGUGGGGUAAUGGCCCACCAAGGCUUUGAUGGGUAGCUGGUCUGAGAGGAUGAUCAGCCACACUGGAACUGAAACACGGUCCAG
Molecule: ribosomal RNA, 208 nt
Filed under: uncultured bacterium
Lineage: Bacteria
Description: partial 16S ribosomal RNA
Rfam family: Bacterial small subunit ribosomal RNA
Source: RNAcentral